Molecule: ribosomal RNA, 552 nt
Filed under: uncultured bacterium
Lineage: Bacteria
Description: bacterial SSU rRNA
Rfam family: Bacterial small subunit ribosomal RNA
Source: RNAcentral
CUCCUGGAAACGGGUGGUAAUGCCGGAUGUGCCGGGCUCCUGCAUGGGGGUCCGGGAAAGCUCUGGCGGCGUGGGAUGGGGUCGCGUCCUAUCAGCUUGUUGGCGGGGUGAGGGCCCACCAAGGCUUCGACGGGUAGCCGGCCUGAGAGGGCGACCGGCCACAUUGGGACUGAGAUACGGCCCAGACUCCUACGGGAGGCAGCAGUGGGGAAUAUUGCACAAUGGGCGCAAGCCUGAUGCAGCGACGCCGCGUGCGGGAUGGAGGCCUUCGGGUUGUAAACCGCUUUUGUUUGGGAGCAAGCCCUUCGGGGUGAGUGUACCUUUCGAAUAAGCACCGGCUAACUACGUGCCAGCAGCCGCGGUAAUACGUAGGGUGCGAGCGUUAUCCGGAUUUAUUGGGCGUAAAGGGCUCGUAGGCGGUUCGUCGCGUCCGGUGUGAAAGUCCAUCGCCUAACGGUGGACCUGCGCCGGGUACGGGCGGGCUGGAGUGCGGUAGGGGAGACUGGAAUUCCCGGUGUAACGGUGGAAUGUGUAGAUAUCGGGAAGAACACC